AGAGUUUGAUCAUGGCUCAGAGCGAACGCUGGCGGCAGGCUUAACACAUGCAAGUCGAGCGGGCAUCUUCGGAUGUCAGCGGCAGACGGGUGAGUAACACGUGGGAACGUACCCUUCGGUUCAGAAUAACGCUGGGAAACUAGCGCUAAUACCGGAUACGCCCUUUUGGGGAAAGGUUUACUGCCGAAGGAUCGGCCCGCGUCUGAUUAGCUAGUUGGUGGGGUAACGGCCUACCAAGGCGACGAUCAGUAGCUGGUCUGAGAGGAUGAUCAGCCACACUGGGACUGAGACACGGCCCAGACUCCUACGGGAGGCAGCAGUGGGGAAUAUUGGACAAUGGGCGCAAGCCUGAUCCAGCCAUGCCGCGUGAGUGAUGAAGGCCUUAGGGUUGUAAAGCUCUUUUGUCCGGGACGAUAAUGACGGUACCGGAAGAAUAAGCCCCGGCUAACUUCGUGCCAGCAGCCGCGGUAAUACGAAGGGGGCUAGCGUUGCUCGGAAUCACUGGGCGUAAAGGGCGCGUAGGCGGCCAUUCAAGUCGGGGGUGAAAGCCUGUGGCUCAACCACAGAAUUGCCUUCGAUACUGUUUGGCUUGAGUAUGGUAGAGGUUGGUGGAACUGCGAGUGUAGAGGUGAAAUUCGUAGAUAUUCGCAAGAACACCGGUGGCGAAGGCGGCCAACUGGACCAUUACUGACGCUGAGGCGCGAAAGCGUGGGGAGCAAACAGGAUUAGAUACCCCGGUAGUCC
This 744-nucleotide ribosomal RNA is filed under the name uncultured bacterium. Its description in RNAcentral is "bacterial SSU rRNA". It matches the Rfam family "Bacterial small subunit ribosomal RNA", at positions 8 to 796 of the family's 1533-position model. The record is from RNAcentral.